Rosa rugosa (rugosa rose) is the source of this 773-nucleotide long non-coding RNA. RefSeq lists it as uncharacterized. The record is from RefSeq and is a predicted model, not a curated record. Lineage: Eukaryota; Viridiplantae; Streptophyta; Magnoliopsida; Rosales; Rosaceae. The transcript is spliced from 3 exons.
CUUUUGUCAAUUUGUUUGCUCUGGUUUUACUUUUGUAGAGUUUUAUAUUCCAGUGAUAGGCAUGUCGUAGUCCCAACUUUAUCCAAUUUCAAUUUUUAUUCAUACUAACAAUGAUGAUGAUUGCAUGUUAUUUGCAGUCCCAUGGAAUCAAAUUAAUGAGAACACACAUAACCUUCAAUUGCCAUGGAGAUGCAAAUAUGGAAGUUACAAUCAUCCCUAGUAUAGCACUCAUACAUAUCAAUCCUACUGUCACUUUGAAAUGCUUUAUAGAUCGAUAAGGGGUCUGGGGGACUUUAUCCUCUGUCAGGUAUGGAAGUGAAGUUCAACGGAACAAGAGAACUAAAUAUGAUACAGCAAACUAUAUGGAUCGGAUAACGAUUGUGCUUUAAAAGAUGGGCAGCAAAGGUACUUGUGAAUAGCAAAGAAGCUUGUGAUUAUGGGCGAAAGGUUUGGUACUUCAUAUGGUAUUGCUUGGAGAAGUGAGAAGGGGAGCAGGGGUAGAAGCUCAAGGAGCUUUCGAAAGAUGAUGAAGUGUCUCUGCUCGGGAUAGUAGUUAAGAGCACCAGAUGAUUUGAUAUUUUUCAGAUGUGGAAUGAGUGGGCUAAGUUUGUCGUCAAUACAUGUAUCUAGGAGCUAUUAGAAUGAUUUUUUGUGUUUUAAUGUAUGGAUGAUUGGGAAAUACGUCCUUUAUAGUACAUUUAAUUCUUUAAUGUAUGAAUUGGAGUACUUUAAUUGAUGAAUUGGAGUACUUCAAUUGAUGAAUUGGAUUCAAA